UGGACAGGUCGGAUGAUCGCUGCGUCCGCUUUAUAUAAAUAUAAAGCGGACGAAGAGGAAAGUCCGGGCUCCGUAGGGUAGCGUAAUGGGUAACACCCAUCCUUCUGGUUUAAAUAUCGGAAGAGGAUCAGAGCAACAGAGACGAGUCUUCCGCCAUAGGCGGAAGGGUGAAACGGGCAAUCUCUACGCGGAGCAAGACCGAAUAGGAGAAGAGCCCCCGAAAACAUGGGCGUACCUGUCGGUUAAUAUACCGGCAGGUAACGAAGCGACCCGCUUCGUUUUUCAUUCUCGGGUAGGUUGCUUGAUCCCGCUGGCAACAGCGGGACUAGAUGGAUGAUCAUCAAAGGCGCAUGAGAGUGCGUCUUUACAGAACCCGGCUUAUAGACCUGUCUACGCU
Molecule: RNase P RNA, 397 nt
Filed under: Candidatus Aquitaenariimonas noxiae
Lineage: Bacteria; Pseudomonadati; Candidatus Omnitrophota
Description: Candidatus Omnitrophica bacterium CG07_land_8_20_14_0_80_42_15 RNase P RNA component class A
Rfam family: Bacterial RNase P class A
About the family: Ribonuclease P (RNase P) is a ubiquitous endoribonuclease, found in archaea, bacteria and eukarya as well as chloroplasts and mitochondria. Its best characterised activity is the generation of mature 5'-ends of tRNAs by cleaving the 5'-leader elements of precursor-tRNAs. Cellular RNase Ps are ribonucleoproteins.
Source: RNAcentral